Molecule: ribosomal RNA, 806 nt
Filed under: Micrococcus chenggongense
Lineage: Bacteria; Bacillati; Actinomycetota; Actinomycetes; Micrococcales; Micrococcaceae
Description: bacterial SSU rRNA
Rfam family: Bacterial small subunit ribosomal RNA
Source: RNAcentral
CAGCGACGCCGCGUGAGGGAUGACGGCCUUCGGGUUGUAAACCUCUUUCAGUAGGGAAGAAGCGAAAGUGACGGUACCUGCAGAAGAAGCGCCGGCUAACUACGUGCCAGCAGCCGCGGUAAUACGUAGGGCGCGAGCGUUAUCCGGAAUUAUUGGGCGUAAAGAGCUCGUAGGCGGUUUGUCGCGUCUGCCGUGAAAGUCCGGGGCUUAACCCCGGAUCUGCGGUGGGUACGGGCAGACUAGAGUGCAGUAGGGGAGACUGGAAUUCCUGGUGUAGCGGUGAAAUGCGCAGAUAUCAGGAGGAACACCGAUGGCGAAGGCAGGUCUCUGGGCUGUAACUGACGCUGAGGAGCGAAAGCAUGGGGAGCGAACAGGAUUAGAUACCCUGGUAGUCCAUGCCGUAAACGUUGGGCACUAGGUGUGGGGGACAUUCCACGUUUUCCGCGCCGUAGCUAACGCAUUAAGUGCCCCGCCUGGGGAGUACGGCCGCAAGGCUAAAACUCAAAGGAAUUGACGGGGGCCCGCACAAGCGGCGGAGCAUGCGGAUUAAUUCGAUGCAACGCGAAGAACCUUACCAAGGCUUGACAUGUUCCUGACCGCCGUAGAGAUACGGUUUCCCCUUUGGGGCAGGUUCACAGGUGGUGCAUGGUUGUCGUCAGCUCGUGUCGUGAGAUGUUGGGUUAAGUCCCGCAACGAGCGCAACCCUCGUUCCAUGUUGCCAGCACGUCGUGGUGGGGACUCAUGGGAGACUGCCGGGGUCAACUCGGAGGAAGGUGGGGACGACGUCAAAUCAUCAUGCCCCUUAA